UAGGGAAUUUUCCACAAUGGGCGAAAGCCUGAUGGAGCAACGCCGCGUGCAGGAUGAAUGCCUUCGGGUUGUAAACUGCUUUUAUCUGUGACGAUUAUGACGGUAGCAGAUGAAUAAGGAUCGGCUAACUCCGUGCCAGCAGCCGCGGUCAUACGGAGGAUCCAAGCGUUAUCCGGAAUUACUGGGCGUAAAGAGUUGCGUAGGUGGCAUGGUAAGUUGGUAGUGAAAGCGUGCGGCUCAACCGUAUACACAUUACCAAAACUGCCAAGCUAGAGGACGAGAGAGGUAGAUGGAAUUCCUAGUGUAGGGGUAAAAUCCGUUGAUAUUAGGAGGAACACCGAUGGCGUAGGCAGUCUACUGGCUCGUUCCUGACACUCAGGCACGAAAGCGUGGGGAGCAAACAGGAUUAGAUACCCCCGUAGUCC
RNAcentral lists this ribosomal RNA (425 nucleotides) under uncultured bacterium. RNAcentral's name for it is "bacterial SSU rRNA". It matches the Rfam family "Bacterial small subunit ribosomal RNA", at positions 355 to 796 of the family's 1533-position model. The record is from RNAcentral.